CAGCAGCCGCGGGAAUACGUAGGGCGCAAGCGUUAUCCGGAAUUAUUGGGCGUAAAGAGCUCGUAGGCGGUUUGUCGCGUCUGCUGUGAAAUCCCGAGGCUCAACCUCGGGCCUGCAGUGGGUACGGGCAGACUAGAGUGCGGUAGGGGAGAUUGGAAUUCCUGGUGUAGCGGUGGAAUGCGCAGAUAUCAGGAGGAACACCGAUGGCGAAGGCAGAUCUCUGAGCCGUAACUGACGCUGAGGAGCGAAAGGGUGGGGAGCAAACAGGCCUAGAUACCCCGGUAGUCCCUGUCUCUUAUAC
This 301-nucleotide ribosomal RNA is filed under the name uncultured bacterium. RNAcentral's name for it is "partial 16S ribosomal RNA". It matches the Rfam family "Bacterial small subunit ribosomal RNA", at positions 509 to 807 of the family's 1533-position model. The record is from RNAcentral.